This 440-nucleotide ribosomal RNA is filed under the name uncultured bacterium. Its description in RNAcentral is "partial 16S ribosomal RNA". It matches the Rfam family "Bacterial small subunit ribosomal RNA", at positions 338 to 795 of the family's 1533-position model. The record is from RNAcentral.
CCUACGGGUGACAGCAGUAGGGAAUCUUCCUCAAUGGGCGAAACUCUGAAGCAGCAACGCCGCGUGAAUGAUGAAGGUUUUCUGCUUGUAAACUCCUUUUGUUAGAGAAGAUAAUUACGGUAUCUAACUGGUCUUCACCGGCUAACUCCGUCCUAGCAACCCCGGUCAUACGGAGGGUGCACACGUUACUCGGAAUUACUGGGCGUAACGAGAGCGUGGGCGGGAUAGCAAGGCAGAUGUGAAAUCCUAUGGCUUAACCAGAGAACUGAAUUUGAAACUGUUCUUCUAGAGUAUGGGAGAGGUAGGUGGAACUCUAGGUGUAGGGGUAAAAUCCGUAGAGAUCAAGAGGAAUACUCAUGGCGAAGGCGACCUGCUAGAACAUAACUGACGCUGAUGCGCGAAAGCGUGGGGAGCAAACAGGAUUAGAUACCCGAGUAGUC